UACGUAGGGUGCAAGCGUUAAUCGGAAUUACUGGGCGUAAAGCGUGCGCAGGCGGCUAUGCAAGACAGAUGUGAAAUCCCCGGGCUCAACCUGGGAACUGCAUUUGUGACUGCAUGGCUAGAGUGCGGCAGAGGGGGAUGGAAUUCCGCGUGUAGCAGUGAAAUGCGUAGAUAUGCGGAGGAACACCGAUGGCGAAGGCAAUCCCCUGAGCCUGCACUGACGCUCAUGCACGAAAGCGUGGGGAGCAAACAGG
Molecule: ribosomal RNA, 253 nt
Filed under: uncultured bacterium
Lineage: Bacteria
Description: partial 16S ribosomal RNA
Rfam family: Bacterial small subunit ribosomal RNA
Source: RNAcentral